This is a non-coding RNA of Dipodomys ordii (Ord's kangaroo rat), 74 nucleotides long. The record is from Rfam. NCBI's taxonomy places the organism in Eukaryota, Metazoa, Chordata, Mammalia, Rodentia, Heteromyidae.
GGGAAGUUGGCUCAGUGGUAGAGUGCUUACCUCACAUGCAUGAGACCCUGGGUUCAAUUCCUCAGCACUAUUCA